GGGUCAGAACAACUUCCACAACACAUAUACUAAAAUUGGAAUGAUACAGAGAAAAUGAGCAUGGCCCCUUUGCAAGGAUGGCAUGCAAAUUCGUGAAGCAUUCUCUUUUUUG
Rhineura floridana is the source of this 112-nucleotide small nuclear RNA. NCBI's taxonomy places the organism in Eukaryota, Metazoa, Chordata, Lepidosauria, Squamata, Rhineuridae. The record is from RefSeq and is a predicted model, not a curated record.